This 250-nucleotide unclassified non-coding RNA is filed under the name fungal sp. RNAcentral describes it as "partial internal transcribed spacer region". The stretch from base 1 to 46 matches the Rfam family "Eukaryotic small subunit ribosomal RNA", at positions 1786 to 1831 of the family's 1831-position model. The record is from RNAcentral. Lineage: Eukaryota; Fungi.
AAGUCGUAACAAGGUUUCCGUAGGUGAACCUGCGGAAGGAUCAUUAACAAAUUCCAUCUUUACCAUUACACCGUGAAUAGACCUAGGGGGAAGGGCAAGUGUGCUAGUAUUAAUACUAUUAGCGCGCCUGGCUGGAUCCCAAGGUAUAACAAAUACAUUGAGGGGAAAAGCAAACCGUUAGCUUGACUUUGGUCUAAGCGCGGCGCGAAUUCUAAUUAUACAACUUUUAACAAUGGAUCUCUUGGCUCUC